GUUAGUAUGGCAGAGCUUGGUUAUGCAAAAGAUCUAAAUCCUUUAAACCGGGGUUCAAAUCCCCUCACUAACU
RNAcentral lists this transfer RNA (73 nucleotides) under Rana johnsi (John's groove-toed frog). RNAcentral describes it as "tRNA-Leu". It matches the Rfam family "tRNA". Rfam says of the family: Transfer RNA (tRNA) molecules are approximately 80 nucleotides in length. The record is from RNAcentral. Lineage: Eukaryota; Metazoa; Chordata; Amphibia; Anura; Ranidae.